Magnolia sinica is the source of this 538-nucleotide long non-coding RNA. RefSeq lists it as uncharacterized. The record is from RefSeq and is a predicted model, not a curated record. The transcript has 2 exons. NCBI's taxonomy places the organism in Eukaryota, Viridiplantae, Streptophyta, Magnoliopsida, Magnoliales, Magnoliaceae.
UGCAAGCGGCCCUCUCUCCCUCAAUCCGUCACCCGACGCCCCUUGUAGCCUCUCUCUCUCUCUUCCCUCUUUCUCCGAUGGCGGAUUCGAUGAGCAGCGACGACGAGCAGGAUUACUAAUCCGAUCGAGACUCCCUCCAAGGAAUCGAAAACGACGAUGAAGACGAUUGCGAUUGGCCUUCUCCAAACGUGCCCUCUUGUCAGGUUUUCUGGAGCAGAUAGGGAGUGGACUCUCUCAAAGUAAUUCAAACAAGGAAACCCCAAACUUACAAAAUGCUUUGCCUCUCUCAACACCCAAAGAUGCUAGUUCUGUUGCUUGGUCAUGCAUCAUGACAUGCUCUGUGGUUUGCACCAUGCAUCAUGCAUGCUUAAACAAGGAGUGGAGCAUAGAGGAUUUAUUUAUUUAUUUUUCAUGUAUUCAGACCAUUGUAAACUUAUUGUUGUAAAUAUAUAUAAUUUUUAUUAUAAAGUUGUACAAUAAAUAUAUAUAAAUCCGUAAGGUAGGGCAUGCUUAAUGUGCAUGUAUAAAUUUUUGCUGC